UGGCGGCAGGCCUAACACAUGCAAGUCGAGCGGAUGAAGAGAGCUUGCUCUCUGAUUCAGCGGCGGACGGGUGAGUAAUGCCUAGGAAUCUGCCUGAUAGUGGGGGACAACGUUUCGAAAGGAACGCUAAUACCGCAUACGUCCUACGGGAGAAAGCAGGGGACCUUCGGGCCUUGCGCUAUCAGAUGAGCCUAGGUCGGAUUAGCUAGUUGGUGAGGUAACGGCUCACCAAGGCGACGAUCCGUAACUGGUCUGAGAGGAUGAUCAGUCACACUGGAACUGAGACACGGUCCAGACUCCUACGGGAGGCAGCAGUGGGGAAUAUUGGACAAUGGGCGAAAGCCUGAUCCAGCCAUGCCGCGUGUGUGAAGAAGGUCUUCGGAUUGUAAAGCACUUUAAGUUGGGAGGAAGGGCAUUAACCUAAUACGUUAGUGUUUUGACGUUACCGACAGAAUAAGCACCGGCUAACUUCGUGCCAGCAGCCGCGGUAAUACGAAGGGUGCAAGCGUUAAUCGGAAUUACUGGGCGUAAAGCGCGCGUAGGUGGUUUGUUA
RNAcentral lists this ribosomal RNA (553 nucleotides) under Klebsiella pneumoniae. RNAcentral describes it as "bacterial SSU rRNA". It matches the Rfam family "Bacterial small subunit ribosomal RNA", at positions 37 to 585 of the family's 1533-position model. The record is from RNAcentral. Lineage: Bacteria; Pseudomonadati; Pseudomonadota; Gammaproteobacteria; Enterobacterales; Enterobacteriaceae.